ACUUAAAUUGAAGAGUUUGAUCAUGGCUCAGAUUGAACGCUGGCGGCAGGCCUAACACAUGCAAGUCGAGCGGUAGCACAGAGAGCUUGCUCUCGGGUGACGAGCGGCGGACGGGUGAGUAAUGUCUGGGAAACUGCCUGAUGGAGGGGAUAACUACUGGAAACGGUAGCUAAUACCGCAUAAUGUCGCAAGACCAAAGUGGGGGACCUUCGGGCCUCAUGCCAUCAGAUGUGCCCAGAUGGGAUUAGCUAGUAGGUGGGGUAACGGCUCACCUAGGCGACGAUCCCUAGCUGGUCUGAGAGGAUGACCAGCCACAC
Molecule: ribosomal RNA, 317 nt
Filed under: Klebsiella pneumoniae subsp. pneumoniae Ecl8
Lineage: Bacteria; Pseudomonadati; Pseudomonadota; Gammaproteobacteria; Enterobacterales; Enterobacteriaceae
Description: 16S ribosomal RNA
Rfam family: Bacterial small subunit ribosomal RNA
Source: RNAcentral